This 506-nucleotide ribosomal RNA is filed under the name uncultured bacterium. Its description in RNAcentral is "bacterial SSU rRNA". It matches the Rfam family "Bacterial small subunit ribosomal RNA", at positions 28 to 530 of the family's 1533-position model. The record is from RNAcentral.
GAUGAACGCUGGCGGCGUGCCUCAAACAUGCAAGUCGAGCGGGGCUAUGUAAUAUCGCAAGGUAGAACAUAGCCUAGCGGCGAACGGGUGAGUAACACGUGGGUAACCUGCCUGGAAGACAGGGAUAACGAUUCGAAAGGGCUGCUAAUACCGAAUACGCUUACCGGGUCGCAUGAUCCGGUAAGGAAAGGUCGGCAACUUCCGCUUUCGGGUGGGCCCGCGUCCCAUUAGCUAGUUGGUAGGGUAACGGCCUACCAAGGCAACGAUGGGUAGCUGGUCUGAGAGGAUGGUCAGCCACACUGGGACUGAGACACGGCCCAGACUCCUACGGGAGGCAGCAGUGGGGAAUCUUGCGCAAUGGGCGAAAGCCUGACGCAGCGACGCCGCGUGAGCGAGGAAGGCCUUCGGUCGUAAAGCUCUGUCAGAGGGGACGGAGUAAUGACGGUACCCGUCCAGAGGAAGCCCCGGCUAACUACGUGCCAGCAGCCGCGGUAAAGUAACUCUAU